RNAcentral lists this long non-coding RNA (318 nucleotides) under Salvia miltiorrhiza (redroot sage). RNAcentral describes it as "long non-coding RNA (SMIL_LNC012301)". Lineage: Eukaryota; Viridiplantae; Streptophyta; Magnoliopsida; Lamiales; Lamiaceae. The record is from RNAcentral.
GCGGCAGCGCACACGGUGACUUCCUUCCUUGUCUUGCUUUGUUUCGUAUGUUUGUGUUGUUUUUACCUUUGUUCUCUUUUCGUUGUGUGUCUCGUUUGUUCCCUUGCUUAUACUUUGUUUUGUUUGCUUGAGGGCAAGCAAAAUCUAAGUGUGAGGGGGGCGUCUUUGAGUUGUGUUCUGUUGAGUCCGUCUUAUGUUGUUUUGUGUGUCUUGAGCUUUGUGAUUGUUGAAGUAUUAGUGAUAAGCAUGCUGCCCGGUUGAGUUAUGUGAUGAACUUGAGGUUUGAUACUUGAGAUUUGGGAUUUUGAGAUUGAAAAU